RNAcentral lists this non-coding RNA (87 nucleotides) under Actinomyces massiliensis. RNAcentral's name for it is "SAM-I sequence". It matches the Rfam family "SAM riboswitch aptamer (S box leader)". Rfam says of the family: The SAM riboswitch is found upstream of a number of genes which code for proteins involved in methionine or cysteine biosynthesis in Gram-positive bacteria. The SAM riboswitch acts at the level of transcription termination control. The predicted structure consists of a complex stem-loop region followed by a single stem loop terminator region. RNAcentral also lists the same sequence under 1 other name. The record is from RNAcentral. Lineage: Bacteria; Bacillati; Actinomycetota; Actinomycetes; Actinomycetales; Actinomycetaceae.
GUUCCAUCCAGAGCGGCCGAGAGACCCGGCUUGAUGACGCCGCAGCAACCCCCUCGUGGUGGGUGCUUCUGCCGGGACCGAUGGAGA